GAUACUAUCUCACCGAUGGGAUACUAUCUCACCAAUGGCAUUUAUCCUAAGUAAGAAACACUUGUGAAGUCCAUUAAAGAGAAGAGAGGGAUGCCCUUAUCCCAAAAAGAAGCUAAUUGCACGAGGGCACAAGAAUCAGCCCGCAAAGACAUUGAGAGAGCUUUCGGUGCUUUGCAAGAAAGAUUUGCCAGUGUUCGGGGUCCAGCUCAUUUUUUGGACAAGAAAACCCUUGUGAACAUCAUGAAGUGUUGUGUCAUUCAACACAACAUGAUACUCGAGGAUGAGAGGGGGUUAAACUUGCCAUAUUUCUAUGACAAUGUUUGUACUUGUUGUGGUCCUAAGACUGAUAGUAGAAAGGGGGGGUAG
This 366-nucleotide ribosomal RNA is filed under the name Triticum aestivum (bread wheat). RNAcentral describes it as "partial small subunit ribosomal RNA". The record is from RNAcentral. Lineage: Eukaryota; Viridiplantae; Streptophyta; Magnoliopsida; Poales; Poaceae.